Long non-coding RNA from Cygnus olor (mute swan), 1014 nucleotides. RefSeq lists it as uncharacterized. The transcript has 3 exons. The record is from RefSeq and is a predicted model, not a curated record. NCBI's taxonomy places the organism in Eukaryota, Metazoa, Chordata, Aves, Anseriformes, Anatidae.
UAUUUGAGAGGAACACCCCUUCUUUUCAAAUUCCCAAAUCCUCAUGCUAGGAGCCGAGGCCUGAAUUUCAGGGUCCAAAGCCUUCUUUGCAGGUCCAAACCCCAAUUUGGAGGCAACAAAUCAUCACUUUUGGAUCCAGAGGAAGGUGGGCCACGCUGCCCUGUCACAGCAACAGCCUGCUGCACCGCCUGUCUGUGACCAGGCCACACGGGACACCUCGGUUUUGACAAGGCGCCCUCCACAGUGCAGUGCAGCCAGCGGAGAUGCAACUGUCUUUUCAUCGCCUACACCCUCCAUUUUUGGACCCAGGCUCUCAUUUUUAGGGCCCAAAGCAUUCUUUUUAGGCCCCAGAGUCACAUAUUAGGGCAGAAAGCCUCUUUCUUGGGCUCCGAAGCCUUGUUUGAAAGGAUAAACCCUCCUUUUCACUAGCUUUUUCUUGCUUACAGCCACACUCAUAUGGACCAGGCAUACAUUUUGGGGACACAAUGCCCUAUUUUUAGGGUCCACACUUUCAUUGCAAGGUGCAAAGCAGCCUUUUAGAUGGCGAGGCCUUAUUUGAGAGGAACACCCCUUCUUUUCAAAUUCCCAAAUCCUCAUGCUAGGAGCCGAGGCCUGAACUUCAGGGUCCAAAGCCUUCUUUGCAGGUCCAAACCCCAAUUUGGAGGCAACAAAUCAUCACUUUUGGAUCCAGAGGAAGGUGGGCCACGCUGCCCUGUCACAGCAACAGCCUGCUGCACCGCCUGUCUGUGACCAGGCCACACGGGACACCUCGGUUUUGACAAGGCGCCCUCCACAGUGCAGUGCAGCCAGCGGAGAUGCAACUGUCUUUUCAUCGCCUACACCCUCCAUUUUUGGACCCAGGCUCUCAUUUUUAGGGCCCAAAGCAUUCUUUUUAGGCCCCAGAGUCACAUAUUAGGGCAGAAAGCCUCUUUCUUGGGCUCCGAAGCCUUGUUUGAAAGGAUAAACCCUCCUUUUCACUAGCUUUUUCUUGCUUACAGCCACACUCAUAUGGAC